AACGAACGCUGGCGGCAGGCUUAACACAUGCAAGUCGAGCGCCCCGCAAGGGGAGCGGCAGACGGGUGAGUAACGCGUGGGAACGUGCCCUUUGGGUCGGAACAACUCCGGGAAACUGGAGCUAAUACCGGAUAAGCCCUUCGGGGGAAAGAUUUAUCGCCAAAGGAUCGGCCCGCGUCUGAUUAGCUAGUGGGUGAGGUAAUGGCUCACCAAGGAGACGAUCAGUAGCUGGUCUGAGAGGAUGAUCAGCCACACUGGGACUGAGACACGGCCCAGACUCCUACGGGAGGCAGCAGUGGGGAAUAUCGGACAAUGGGCGCAAGCCUGAUCCAGCCAUGCCGCGUGAGUGAUGAAGGCCUUAGGGUUGUAAAGCUCUUUUGUCCGGGAAGAUAAUGACUGUACCGGAAGAAUAAGCCCCGGCUAACUUCGUGCCAGCCGCCGCAGUAA
This 447-nucleotide ribosomal RNA is filed under the name uncultured bacterium. RNAcentral describes it as "partial 16S ribosomal RNA". It matches the Rfam family "Bacterial small subunit ribosomal RNA", at positions 29 to 523 of the family's 1533-position model. The record is from RNAcentral.